UCAAUGUGGAGGUUGGAGGCCCUGCCUGUGGUGGGGGGUUGGAGCUUCAUGGUCGUUGAGGUCCAAUCCAACCUGGGCUGUUCUGUGAUUCUGUGAUUAUCACCCUAUAUUUAUUAUAAUGUACGUACAUCAUGUCCAUUCUUUAAGAUACAGCAUCUUUGUUUAUUUCACAGUUCUCAUUCAUCCAGAAUGGUGAAACAAAGCAUUAUCUUCCAUUCCUCAUCUGCCAUUUCAUAACCAUCCGUGUGUAUCUUUGUUUUUAGCUUAAGCAGCGGUUAAGGCUGAGUUGGGCUUUAUUUGACAUCAGCUGAUUUCAUCACAGAACGUGCUGUAGAUCAUCGCCCUGAAAACCUCCAACAAAAUGGUAAUAAGAAAGGCUUCUGCUGUGCUGCUGCUCUUUUGUUUCUUUGCCUUCAGAUACCACCCCUGCUUCUUAACUGAUCUCCUCUUCCCUUGGCUUUACUUUGGCAUAUUCCAAACGUGGGGUAUCCAGGAAUUGCCCCAGAAGAAAAAGCCUGGUUUGAGUUGGAGCAAAACCCAGCGCUCCUUCCAGAAGUAACUCAGGGUUAGGAAAAGAUCCCAUUAAAAUGAAUUAACUUCCAGGAGCCGCACUGAAUGCAUAUGAAGAUGUGCAUGUGAGGAGUGUGUUGGCCUUGUCCAAGGUCUGAAAGGUUUUUAUGGGUUGUGAGAUGUUCCAGUGCUUGGAUCAAUGCGUUUUCUUUUGGGAAGGUGUGUGUUGGGUUUUUCUUUUGUUUUGUUUCUUUGCUUGUGUUAUGUCAAUUUAAUUGUAAGCCAACAUGGCAGCCCCAGGGGAGGUGUACCUAUAUACACAAACAGGUACAAUGCUGCGUGUGCAUGGAGCAAAUGGAACCAUCCCAGGGCAGAGGAGGCCCCCGAGGAGCUGCCAAGCUGUUCAGCCAUCACUGAUAUCAGAACGGUGAUACCCACGUGGUCCAAAUGCCUCUUCUUUUGGCAUGGGCAGAAACAGAGAUGCAGGAGAUUGGCUUCAUGUGCAGAGCUGCAUCAGCUGAAGCUCACACUAGCGUGAGGCUUAGCAGGGUUUGUGCUCCGAUGCAAGUGAAACAGAGGGAAAUCUGUCUCCUAUUAUCAGAGAGCAGCCUGAGCUGGUGGGGGUCAGCCAGCCCACAGCAGGGGUUGGGACCGGGUGAUCUUUGCGAUCCCUUCCAACCCAAACUGUUCUAUUAUUGUAUGACUAAAUUAUACAUGCACACCUCAUGUCUACAUGAAACCAUCCUGGGACUUGUGGGCUGAGAUAUGAUGUGAUUUGGAUGAUGACAUCCUGACAGUGACCAAGUAGGCGAACCUGCAUCAUGAUGUUUUUGCUUCGACCUGCUGUCCCCAGCCACGGAUUGCCGUCAUAAAAGCCCAUUAAAAAUCACUUUGCUCUCUGCGAUGCUUAACUUGCUGUGUUUUCGGUUAGCCGUGCUGAACCUUGAUAAAGAGAGUGUUUUAGCUUCCAGCAGGAUAUCUGGAGUUCAGAAAUCUCCGCAGAAGAUUAAGCAAGUUAGAGAGAGAAAUUAGCCCUGAUCCCUUUCUGCCAGCAUAGGAUUAUCCUGCAGCACACCGGUUUUGAAGUUUAUGUCUAAUCCAGUUUUACACAUCCCAGGGGACUGGGCUCCUUAUGGCUUCUGCAGAGCAGUUGUGUGGUGGAGCCUCUGCUUUAGAGGUACUUACUUGGUGCCGAGAUUCAAUUUGCAUUUCCAUUACUGCAUCCCAUUUCAUCCUGUGCCAUAUACUUAAUGUCUCUGCUUUGUAGGGUAUGGCUUUCGAAGGCAUAUGGAUUGUUAUUGUUCUUGUGCUGCUUUAUAUGCUUACUGCACACGUAGCUGGGCAGUCUGAACCCCAUUCUUACAUAUAACUUGUGCUUAGGACUGGUGAACAUAUCCAUGUGUAAAAGGGCUUGUGGCAGUCAGUGGAGGAUCGUAGUGCAUCAACACAAGUGGUGUGAACCAAGGUGAGAUGAGCCGAGUGUGCAGCAAUAUUGCUAAUCAAGGCAAAGACGAGUAAAUGCUGCUGCUUUCCAGCAUGGUGCAAGGCUUAAAUGAUCAGUUUGGGAGUUUUUCUUAUGAGUUUGUAAAACCAUAAUUGUUCAUCUCUAAUAAACGUGUAUUUCCAGGCUGAAAAGCAA
Non-coding RNA from Coturnix japonica (Japanese quail), 2149 nucleotides. The record is from RefSeq and is a predicted model, not a curated record. Lineage: Eukaryota; Metazoa; Chordata; Aves; Galliformes; Phasianidae.